This 449-nucleotide ribosomal RNA is filed under the name uncultured bacterium. RNAcentral's name for it is "partial 16S ribosomal RNA". It matches the Rfam family "Bacterial small subunit ribosomal RNA", at positions 29 to 523 of the family's 1533-position model. The record is from RNAcentral.
AACGAACGCUGGCGGCAGGCCUAACACAUGCAAGUCGAACGCUGUAGCAAUACAGAGUGGCAGACGGGUGAGUAACGCGUGGGAACCUUCCCAAUGGUACGGAAUAGCCCAGGGAAACUUGGGGUAAUACCGUAAACGCCCCCAGGGGGAAAGAUUUAUCGCCAUUGGAUGGGCCCGCGUCGGAUUAGCGAGUUGGUGAGGUAAUGGCUCACCAAGGAAACGAUCCGUAGCUGGUUUGAGAGAAUGACCAGCCACACUGGGACUGAGACACGGCCCAGACUCCUACGGGAGGCAGCAGUGGGGAAUCUUGGACAAUGGGCGCAAGCCUGAUCCAGCCAUGCCGCGUGAGUGACGAAGGCCUUAGGGUUGUAAAGCUCUUUUGCCGGGGACGAUAAUGACGGUACCCGGAGAAUAAGUCCCGGCUAACUUCGUGCCAGCAGCCGCCGUAA